This 465-nucleotide ribosomal RNA is filed under the name uncultured bacterium. RNAcentral's name for it is "partial 16S ribosomal RNA". It matches the Rfam family "Bacterial small subunit ribosomal RNA", at positions 28 to 507 of the family's 1533-position model. The record is from RNAcentral.
GACGAACGCUGGCGGCGUGCUUAACACAUGCAAGUCGAACGGAAAGGCCCUGCUUGCGGGGUACUCGAGUGGCGAACGGGUGAGCAACACGUGGGUGAUCUGCCCUGCACUUCGGGAUAAGCCUGGGAAACUGGGUCUAAUACCGGAUAGGAGCCAUUUUUAGUGUGAUGGUUGGAAAGUUUUUUCGGUGUAGGAUGAGCUCGCGGCCUAUCAGCUUGUUGGUGGGGUAAUGGCCUACCAAGGCGGCGACGGGUAGCCGGCCUGAGAGGGUGGACGGCCACAUUGGGACUGAGAUACGGCCCAGACUCCUACGGGAGGCAGCAGUGGGGAAUAUUGCACAAUGGGCGCAAGCCUGAUGCAGCGACGCCGCGUGGGGGAUGACGGCCUUCGGGUUGUAAAAUCCUUUCGCUAGGGACGAAGCUUUUUGUGACGGUACCUAGAUAAGAAGCCCCGGCUAACUACGUG